This 497-nucleotide ribosomal RNA is filed under the name uncultured bacterium. RNAcentral describes it as "partial 16S ribosomal RNA". It matches the Rfam family "Bacterial small subunit ribosomal RNA", at positions 28 to 507 of the family's 1533-position model. The record is from RNAcentral.
GACGAACGCUGGCGGCGUGCCUAAUACAUGCAAGUUGAGCGCUGAAGGUUGGUACUUGUACCAACUGGAUGAGCAGCGAACGGGUGAGUAACGCGUGGGGAAUCUGCCUUUGAGCGGGGGACAACAUUUGGAAACGAAUGCUAAUACCGCAUAAAAACUUUAAACACAAGUUUUAAGUUUGAAAGAUGCAAUUGCAUCACUCAAAGAUGAUCCCGCGUUGUAUUAGCUAGUUGGUGAGGUAAAGGCUCACCAAGGCGAUGAUACAUAGCCGACCUGAGAGGGUGAUCGGCCACAUUGGGACUGAGACACGGCCCAAACUCCUACGGGAGGCAGCAGUAGGGAAUCUUCGGCAAUGGACGAAAGUCUGACCGAGCAACGCCGCGUGAGUGAAGAAGGUUUUCGGAUCGUAAAACUCUGUUAGUAGAGAAGAACGUUGGUGAGAGUGGAAAGCUCAUCAAGUGACGGUAACUACCCAGAAAGGGACGGCUAACUACGUG